GGGGAUGAAAGGAUUUCGACGGGGAUUUCAAUCCGUGAUAAGCGAGCGGUGGCGAGGAACCACCAUAAAAGCCUUAGUUUAUAAAUAAUAAACGACAACAAUAAAGUUUUACGUGCUGCUUAAUUUUUAAGCAGCUGUUCCCUACGGAAGUACUGCGGUCCGUAACGGAGCAUCAAGCAGCAGUAAAUGUGAACGGAUAACUGCUCUGUAGUCCGUCACACACAACAGAGCUACCGAGGCACUAAGCCCGUUAUCAGGCGUCCUGCCGAGGGAAUAAAAAGUGAUAACUACGCUCGUAGAAAGUUGCGAGGAGAGGUUUUCGGACGCGGUUUCGAGUACCGCCAUCUCCACCA
RNAcentral lists this transfer-messenger RNA (353 nucleotides) under bovine gut metagenome. It matches the Rfam family "transfer-messenger RNA". From Rfam's summary of the family: Bacterial tmRNA, also known as 10Sa RNA or SsrA, is named for its dual tRNA and mRNA-like properties. Its role is to liberate the mRNA from a stalled ribosome. The record is from RNAcentral.